RNAcentral lists this unclassified non-coding RNA (2083 nucleotides) under Hevea brasiliensis (rubber tree). The record is from RNAcentral. Lineage: Eukaryota; Viridiplantae; Streptophyta; Magnoliopsida; Malpighiales; Euphorbiaceae.
UUUUAAAAAAAAAAAAUUAAAAAACAAGCAACAAGCUCAAUAUGCUUUGGACUGCACCAGAUACCAACCUCAAAAGCCUAUAUCUUCCUACAGAUGUACUCAAAGAUAUGGUCAGAGAAGUCCAUCAGAAGAAGAAGAGCAAAUGCAUGUCAACGUUUGGUGGAAAGAAAGAGAAAAGAGAGAACCGAAUCAAAGCUUCAUCCAGCUGCAGGCGUGUCAGGCUUCGAAUGACGAGAGAGAGGGAAAGUAAGCAGUAGGCUGUAGAGUGUAAUAAUAAACAUAGCCUGUGUAAAAAAUAAAUAACCCUUAAGACUUUGCUCAGUCAUUCUGGUUGGCCAUUCAAAAUGCCAGAAAAAGCCAAUUUUGCAUAACCGUUACCUCCCACGAGUCAGACUUCUUUCUUUAAUUCAGUCUUUGCGACUCUAAUUACGGUCUUAUCUCUAGAAUCAUCGUUAUUGUUCUUCCUUUUUCUCCUCUUGAUUUUCCGGCGACGGUGAGAAAAUGUCGCCGGCUGCCAAGAAAUUAGCUCAAGAUGGAGGGGAAAACAAGCAUUAUCCUGCGCCUCUUACUUCUCACGAAGAAGUUGUUAAGGACCCUACAACUUUCUGGGACACUCUCAGGCGUUUUCAUUCUAUAAUGGGUACUAAGUUUAUGAUUCCUGUGAUUGGAGGACAGGAGCUCGAUUUGCAUGUUCUGUAUGUAGAGGCUACAAGAAGGGGUGGCUAUGAGAAGGUGGUCGCGGAUAAGAAAUGGAGGGAAGUGGGUUCAGUGUUUAAGUUCUCUCCAACAACAACGAGUGCUUCUUUCGUAUUGAGAAAACACUACUUUGGCCUUCUUUACCAUUAUGAACAAGUUCACUUCUUUAAGGUCCAAGGUCCAGUCUGCUCUCCGACAGUGACAGUUACAUUUCCUGUAAGCAACUCUUUAUGCAGACAUGAAUUGGCUAUUGUGGAAUAUUCCCCCAAACCGAUAAGGGAUUGUCCUGAUCCGCGUACUGAAGGAUCUUCAUCUUUCUCAGCUAUUGGAACUAUUGAUGGGAAAUUUGAUUGCGGAUAUCUGGUUUCUGUGCAAGUGGGUUCAGAGGUCCUCAGUGGUGUACUUUACCAUCCAGAUCAUCCAGACUCAUCUUUUUCUAUUACUCCAUAUAGUCAUGCCCUUGUUCCAUAUACUGGCAGCAGUAAACCUCGCCACUGUCGGAGGAGGAGAAGCAGAAGAGCAGGGGACCCCAGCUACCCAAAACCCAAUAGAAGUGGUUACAACUUCUUCUUUGCUGAAAAGCACUAUAAGCUCAAAUCUCUCUACCCGAACAGAGAACGGGAGUUUACGAAAAUCAUCGGUCAGUCAUGGAGCAGUCUCAGUGCAGAAGAAAGAAUGGUACAAAUACGCAAUAAAAAUUGACUUGUUCUCUUGUUGCAUAGUUUUCGUGUAGCAUAACUUGCAGCAGCACACUUGUUACUAAUCUCCAAUGAGACAGAUUGAGAUAUAUUUGCAUACCUGCCAGUUCUUCGAGCAUUGAAGUGAAUUAGCAAAGACUACUUUAAUUUUACUCACAUCCGUUCCUAAAUUAUUAUUUUUUAAGAUAGAUGCUUGCAGAUUGGCAGAAGCAAUCUCAGAUUGAUAUUCUUGUAUUAUAUGUAUCUUUGUAGGUUUACCAGGACAUUGGGCUGAAAGACAAGGAAAGAUACAAGAGAGAGUUGAAAGAGUACAAAGAGAGACUAAAGCUUAGGGAGACCAUGGAAGUUGGGAGAGCUGAUUAUUAGAGCGCCAGAAGUUGGCCAGAUGAUGUAGUGGAGGUCUUUUAGAGCUCGAGCUCCAGAAGUUGGCCAGAGGUUGUAGGGCCAUUUUCCAAUCUAUAUAUGUAGAUAUAAAUUACCCUUAGAAAAUUUUCAAUAUACAGACAUUCCUAUUUAAUAUGAAGUGCUUAGUUCUUUACUCGUAAUUUAAUCCUUUGAUUUUGCAAAGUCUGUAAAAAUGAGACUCCAACUAGGCCUGAACUGAAAAUUCACUAAACAGUCCGAGACUUCUAAACCUGAGGUAAAAGCUGUCCCCGCUUACAUUAAGAGUUCGAGACGUAUAUUAAGUG